CUCCUCCUCGAUUAUUCAUGGCAACCAGAGUAGUUACCACUGGACGAAAGGUGAAUUUUCAAUUUUUGGAGGUUGAACACUUUCACAUUAGGUCAUGAGUCUGCCAGCAGGGUUGGGAGAAGAUGUGUACUUUGGAGGUACCCAUUUAUCCCAAUCUUGUGCAUGAACUUUUUAAGAACUUGAGGCUCGAUGGAGAGUCUAGUAUUGAGUCCAUGGUGAAGGGUGUUCAGAUCUCCUUAUCUGAGAAAAAGU
RNAcentral lists this long non-coding RNA (252 nucleotides) under Elaeis guineensis (African oil palm). Its description in RNAcentral is "long non-coding RNA (EGUI_LNC033168)". Lineage: Eukaryota; Viridiplantae; Streptophyta; Magnoliopsida; Arecales; Arecaceae. The record is from RNAcentral.